AUUGAACGCUGGCGGAAUGCUUUACACAUGCAAGUCGAACGGCAGCACGGGUGCUUGCACCUGGUGGCGAGUGGCGAACGGGUGAGUAAUACAUCGGAACGUACCCAGUUGUGGGGGAUAACGAGUCGAAAGAUUCGCUAAUACCGCAUACGACCUGAGGGUGAAAGCGGGGGACCGUAAGGCCUCGCGCAAUUGGAGCGGCCGAUGUCUGAUUAACUAGUUGGUGAGGUAAAGGCUCACCAAGGCUAGGAUCAGUAGCUGGUCUGAGAGGAUGAUCAGCCACACUGGAACUGAGACACGGUCCAGCCUCCUACGGGAGGCAGCAGUGGGUAAUUUUGGACAAUGGGGGAAACCCUGAUCCAGCCAUUCCGCGUGAGUGAAGAAGGCCUUCGGGUUGUAAAGCUCUUUCGGCAGGGAAGAAACGCUCUGGCUUAAUACGCCGGGGUAAUGACGGUACCUGAAGAAGAAGCACCGGCUAACUACGUGCCAGCAGCCGCCGUAA
RNAcentral lists this ribosomal RNA (502 nucleotides) under uncultured bacterium. RNAcentral describes it as "partial 16S ribosomal RNA". It matches the Rfam family "Bacterial small subunit ribosomal RNA", at positions 30 to 523 of the family's 1533-position model. The record is from RNAcentral.